GCGGAUAUGGCGGAAUUGGCAGACGCGCAGGACUUAGAAUCCUGUGGGCGACCGUGCAGGUUCAAGUCCUGUUAUCCGCACCA
This 83-nucleotide transfer RNA is filed under the name Clostridia bacterium. RNAcentral's name for it is "tRNA-Leu". It matches the Rfam family "tRNA". Rfam says of the family: Transfer RNA (tRNA) molecules are approximately 80 nucleotides in length. Their secondary structure includes four short double-helical elements and three loops (D, anti-codon, and T loops). Lineage: Bacteria; Bacillati; Bacillota; Clostridia. The record is from RNAcentral.